Molecule: regulatory RNA element, 130 nt
Organism: Psychrobacter arcticus 273-4
Lineage: Bacteria; Pseudomonadati; Pseudomonadota; Gammaproteobacteria; Moraxellales; Moraxellaceae
Rfam family: ALIL pseudoknot
Source: Rfam
GGCUUUUUUCGCCCAGGCGGAGCUCGACCGCUAACUAAAAUAAUGGUUCAGUUUAUCGAUGAUAAUAAAGAUAAUUACGGGAUCGAGCCUAUCUGUAUUAUAAAUUACAUAAGAUUUAAAGCUUAACCCA